This 1345-nucleotide long non-coding RNA is filed under the name Castor canadensis (American beaver). Its description in RNAcentral is "lncRNA (ENSCCNG00000018611.1)". The record is from RNAcentral. Lineage: Eukaryota; Metazoa; Chordata; Mammalia; Rodentia; Castoridae.
UAAGACCUCCAUACUUUCGCCUUUAAUUUCUCCUGGGACGCUUGCAAAAAUUGCCUGCGAGGUCUUAUAUGGAAAACUAAUAAACUUUAAUGGUGGUUUUUGAGGCUCCAAAGGACCGAAUUGGCCUUCCAACGUGUAACGAAAGUACAGCUGUGGUUAGGCAGCUGGAUUGGCCCUCGUAGCCCUCUGUCUUCCCACCGCCUGCACUGAAGCGGAUGAAAACAAACACUUACGAUGGCGGCGCCGGGAAGCGACUGGUUGCUCGGUUAAGGCAAGAAUGAUCGCUUGACGGGCGACAGGAGCGGCGAAGAGAACCAGUCGCCCUGAGUGUGACAACUUGCUCAGUCCUUGGAGCCGAACGCCCGGGUCCUGCGAGUCCGGAGCUUCCGAAGGCGUGGGGUGUCUUAUCUGCGACCUGUGCUGUCACUGCAGCUCCGGAGCGCGGCCCCUUACCCAGGACGCGCGGCUGGCCGGCCCCGGGCCCCGGCCUCCGUAAUGAGAGCCCCGAGCCACUCUCUGUGCCGCAGCUUCACAGUGGAACGACCUGUGGAAACCUGCGAUCCCUUCUCAUUAAAUAAAUCUCUGGGUAAGUGGCUAAAGCAUCUUCUUGGGCGAAUCACUAACACAUCUCGGUUUUCACUUUCCCAGUCAUUUAGUUCCCAGUUAGUCAGGGUAAUUCAGCAUCUCACUUUCAGUGUUUUUUGAGACUAAGGUCUGGGGCUCGCUAUGUUGGGCUAGGCUGGGCCUUCAAGAACUAGGCUCCAGCCAUCCUUACUAAGUAGAUAGGACUACAGGCACUCACUAUCUCGCCUACCUUGGAAUCAUAUGUACAUAUGUGUAUGGGGACUGAACUCAGGAUCUUGCACAUGCUAGGCAAGGUCUUUACCACUGAGCUGGAUCCACAGCCAACAAUGCUUUUAAUACUAAUCCGUAGUAAAAUAUAUGUAGCUAAUUUGACACGCUGUUUUCAAAGUGUAAAUAUAGGCUGGCAAUUCUCAUAACUUAAAUUCCAUAAACUACUGUUUAAAAUCUCUUGACCGUUGCUGUACUUAAUAUCUAGCAUCACGUUGUUUUUUGGUUUUUGUUUUUUUUUUCCCUCAUACUGGAGUUUGAACUCAGAGACUCAUCCUUGUUAGGCAGUUGAUCUACCACUUGCACCACUCUGACAGCCCUUUUUUUGUUUGGAAAUUUUCGAGAUAAGGUCUUGAGAACUAUUUGCCCAGGCUAGCCUCUAACAGAUCUCCUAAUCUCUGCCUCCCAAGUAGCUAGGAUUGCAGGCAUGCGCCAUUUUACCAGCUCUGAGGAAUUUACUCUUGAAUAAAACUUACCUAAAUUUUGUAUGUGG